RNAcentral lists this transfer RNA (65 nucleotides) under Amphizoa insolens. Its description in RNAcentral is "tRNA-Pro". Lineage: Eukaryota; Metazoa; Arthropoda; Insecta; Coleoptera; Amphizoidae. The record is from RNAcentral.
CAGAGAAUAGUUUAAUAAAAAUAUUAAUUUUGGAGAUUAGUGAUAGAAGUAUAUUUUUUCUCUGA